CUGCUGGUCACUACAGAGAAGUAGAGUCAUUUCCUCAUAGACGUCUAUGGGAGCAGAGGAGUCGCCCCCUGCUGGUCACUACAGAGAAGUAGAGUAAUUUCCUCAUAGACGUCUAUGGGAGCAGAGGAGUCGCCCCCUGCUGGUCACUACAGAGAAGUAGAGUCAUUUCCUCAUAGACGUCUAUGGCAGCAGAGGAGUCGCCCCCUGCUGGUCACUGCACAGAAUGCAGCUUUAGCUCUGGUUGCGAAUUCUGGAUGAAUACGGACCUACUGAGGACCAAAUGAGAGCAGGCUUAGGCCCACAUAGAAUACUUAUUGAAUGAAAGGUGUUAUAUUUGGUUUCAACUCUUUCUGGGUCCCAUUUAAUGUCUUGUUUUUGCUUAUUUCCUCCCGUGUUCCCUCUUCCGUCUGUCAAUGCUUUUAUAACUUAGCCUCUUACAACAGAUCCAUGAAUUUCAAACUUAUUAUCAUCGUCGAUUCAAAUCGAUGAUGUAGCUGGUUUAAUGACAUCCAACGAUGCUGUGAUCCCACACACGCUCUGAAAGUUCAAAUAUCAUUUUUACAUUUAGAAAUAAGAGAAAAGUACUAAACCAACAAUGGAAUUCAAGGUCCUCUUAGUCUUAAUAGGUUGCUAAAGACCUUCAUGCCCCCCCCCUUCUGAGGAGACAUAUUAACAGCCUUCUGUGACUAAUGGACGUAGUGGGAUCUCAUUUAAAGCAGAGAGGGUAUCAAAUCCACGAGUGCACAAAGACAUUAAAGGACGUCCGCUGGGAGGUCGCAGGGGUUUGAUCCACCCCCCCCCCCCCUCCCGGGACGUCUAGCCGGCUCAUUAUGUAGGAUAUAAAAAGAGGAAAAUACAGUAUCCUGUGCCUCUAAUGCCGCUGUAAUUCAUGGAAUGAUACCUGGAGUUUCUGGAUCGUCAUCACGUAUCAUCGCAGGUUGUUCAGAGAAAAUCUCUUUCACAUAACGGUGCCGUUUUGAGCUUCUGUUUGGGGGGGCAUUCAUUCAUUGUUAAUGGGACUUUAAUUAGUCUAAAUGAUAAUAGAAGCGUUAGCUAGAGGGCUAGAUUCACAAAAGAAGAAGCACUAUUCUGUAUUAGUAGAAAUUGGAUACGUUUUUUUUGAAACAAAGGUAAAUAUAUGUAGAAUCUAAUGAUUCAAUAUUUACUGUUUUAGAAACUCCACCCAUGGUCACAUGACCUCCCGUCUUGCAUGCUUAGUUGUUCCAUAACCUAAGUAGCUUUAACACAUUACAUUAACCAACAUGCAGGACCAUUUCCUGUCAUAUACCCCCCCCCCCCCCCCCCAUGAGGCUGGACAUCGGUGUCGUGGUGAUUUGCAUAUCGCACCGCAACCGUUUUUCUUUCCUUGCACGCGACUUCUCUUUUUUCUCUUUUGUUGUGUGUCCCGUACAGUUAGGACUUUAUGUUUUAAUUGCCCGGCCCCCCCCCCCCUGCGGGGGGAUAUUUUCACAGGAGGUGGGCACCUGCCUCGGCUUCCUCGCUGAUUGUUUCCAGGACGGGGGGCCUCCACGGUCCUGACAUUUUUUACACCGAGGUAACGUUUCCUUGCAUUAUGGUCGCAGAAUAGCUCCCCUUGUCUAUUGUGCUGCUUGUUAAAACUCCUCAUGGAUUCAUGAACAGUGAUCGGGGGGGACGGGGGGGGGGGGAUUCCGGGGAAUUCCAGCAGCAUUCCUAUCAGAUUUCCUUCUGCGCUCUUUCCUUCUUUCCCUUCCACCUCCGUGGUGUGAAGGCCGUUCCAGAGAAGCGACACAUGAUGUUCUGCAUCAAACUAAACGGAAGAGAAUCAGUCAGAAAGGAAUAUUUAAGAAGUGAUCGAAGUGGAUCAUUUUCUUGAAUUAGUCAAUUCAUUUUAUAAAAUAUCCCCCCCCUCAGCUUGGUGAGAGGACCUGCUGCAUCCAGUUCUCUCACAGUGACGCUGGAGAUCCGCUCGGCACCAGAGACAAAAGGACGAAGACAAAUAAACAGAAGCAGCGUUUGAAGCGGCGUCUCCUCCUCGCUGACGGGCAGCGGGGGGGUCUGAGCUGUUUGACCCCCGGUGCCGCUUGGUUGCACCCAAAAGCCUCAAAGCGUGAGUCCCGGUCACGGCUCUCUGAUCUGCAGGCCAUCCGUCGCCAGCAGGGUGGUGCUCAGCAGCAGCACCGCCCGCUGGAAUCAAGUGAUACCAGCGAAUUGUAUCAAAGGGUUCUACCCAGAACCUCUUCAUCAGGACGCUUCAUCAGGAAGCUUCAUCAAGACGCUUCAUCAGGUAGCUUCAUCAGGACGCUUCAUCAGGCAGCUUCAUCAGGCAGCUUCAUCAGUAAGCUUCAUCAGGCAGCUUCAUCAGGCAGCUUCAUCAGGAAGCUUCAUCGGGAAGCUUCAUCAGGAAGCUUCAUCAGGCAGCUUCAUCAGGAAGCUUCAUCAAGACGCUUCAUCAGGUAGCUUCAUCAGGACGCUUCAUCAGGCAGCUUCAUCAGGCAGCUUCAUCAGUAAGCUUCAUCAGGCAGCUUCAUCAGGCAGCUUCAUCAGUAAGCUUCAUCAGGCAGCUUCAUCAGGCAGCUUCAUCAGGCAGCUUCAUCAGGCAGCUUCAUCAGUAAGCUUCAUCAGGCAGCUUCGUCAGGCAGCUUCAUCGGGCAGCUUCAUCGGGCAGCGUCGUCAGGCAGCUUCAUCAGGCAGCUUCUCGUGACCAGCCUCUGCAGCGUCGCUCUGCAGUACCUCCCCCCCCCUCCACAUCUGCACAGUGUGCGUUUGUGUACUUUGUGCGCGGCCGACCUUUUUCUCUCCCACUGCUCCGUGGAGCCGGCGUUCUGUUGUCGAGAGCCUGCAGCCGCGCUGCUCAUUGUAUUUGUGUCCUGUGUGUCGCUUCCUGCGUCCAGAUUGUGGAUUGUUGGCCGAGACAAUGGUGUGUUUCGCCUUGGAAGGACACCUCCAUCAUUUACCACGGGGCGGUGAACGCAGACCCACACGCCGCCGCUGCUCGGGGACAAUAUGUAUUUAUCCCCCGAGCCGUUGCUUGAAUGCAAUGAAUCAUAAUUUCGAUACGUUUCUAUUCUAUAACUCCCAAAGCACAAUGCAGCAACGUGGUUUUCCCCCACCGAGAAACAAGGCGCCGGGUAUCUGAACCCUUCCUGUUGCGUCGAUAAGAGAAAGCGAAAAGCCCCAAAAAAGGAAGAUCUUCUGGGAGAUAACGCACCAUAAAACAAUCUGGAUUAAUGUCUCCUACUGUUCCAGAGGUUAUGAACCGGCCCCGUUUCCUGUGAAUUCACCUACUGUACUUAACCAGAGGUAUUCAUGUGGGGAAAGGCAAACAUUCCCACCUCCACAAAUAUGCAGUCAAGCACACACUUGUCGCUGGUGGGAUGGCGGUGAGAGCGAAGCCUCUCCCGCAUUGGCGGCUCGCCUCCCACCCGAGCACGCCAAGCGCGGAGAAAAUAAAGGCUGCAGAGCGGAGAGAGGAAGUCGUAACGUGUUCGGACCGAGAGGCAUUCUUCAGGUCAGGAGGCGUUUCUCUAUUGAGCUCCAACACGUCGCUGCCGUCACUCCAGAGAUGGAAAGUUCUAAUAUUGGUGUUUGUUUUUUAUUGUCAAGGCUGCGUUGGAGGUCAGUGUGUAGAUUCAGUUUUGCACAUUUAACUUGAAUGGAGCUCAUAAAAUAUUGUUUAUUUUCUUGGGUGUGUCCUUACAAAUGAUCUCUUCUAUCCAGCUUCUGCUUUUCAAGUUGUAAAUGAGCUUUUAUACAGCAAACAAUUGUGUCUGAUCACUUGUUCCAAAAGGCCACACGACUAAACGCUGCAACAACAUGCGGAGCCCGACAUGCACGCCAUGCACGCCAUGACCACCAUGACCACCAUGCACGCCAUGCACACUAUGCACGCCAUGACCACCAUGACCACCAUGACCACCAUGCACGCCAUGCACACUAUGCACGCCAUGACCACCAUGACCACCAUGCACGCCAUGCACACUAUGCACGCCAUGACCGGCAUGACCACUAUGCACGCCAUGACCACCAUGCCGCCAUGACCGGAGAGCAUGUAUAUGACCGCCAUGACCGCCAUGACUCUCUCUCUCGCCAUGCACGCCAUGCACGCCAUAACCGCCAUGACCACAAUAACCGCCAUGACCGCCAUGCACACUAUGCACGCCAUGACCGCCGUAACCGCCAUGACCACCAUGACCGCCAUGACCGCCAUGCUUGCCAUGCACGCCAUAACCAUCAUCACCACAAUAACCGCCAUGACCGCCAUGCACACUAUGCACGGCAUAACCACCAUGACCACAAUAACCGUGACCACCGCCAUACACACCAUGACCGCCAUGCACACUAUGCACGGCAUAACCACCAUGACCACAAUAACCGCCAUGACCGCCAUACACACCAUGACCGCCAUGCACACUAUGCACGCCAUAACCGCCAUGACCACAAUAACCGCCAUGACCGCCAUGCACACUAUGCACGCCAUAACCGCCAUGACCACCAUGCACGCCAUGCACACCAUGACGCCGUGAUCACUCAUAACCACGUUUCAUAGACUUACUGAAGAGCAAACUUCUGCUCACUGCUCUUCUGACCAAGGUGACGGUGACUGUUUGUUGGUACGAAGACCUGACACCUUCAUCUGGGGUCUUUGUGUUGUGCCGACCCAGUGACCCUCCGACCCCUCGCCACACCCUAAAGUCUUUGAAAAGAGGCGCGUCUCUUCCCUCCCUGUUCCUGUGCUGCUCUUUGUCUCCGGACUCGUCUUCUCGUGACGGCGUCCUCGUCAACACACAAACCUUCCGUCCGCUCGCUUCCUGCUGAGAAUCCUUCAGGAUGUGCACCUUUUGAGAAUAAAGCUUUCACACAGUCGGCAGAAAGGCCCUUGAGCUCACGCAGGUAUUCAUUUGCGGCGAUUACCUGCAGCUUCACAGGACCUGCAGCAGUCUCAGCGGGGGGGUGGAGGGGGGGACUAUUUGUCUCCUCUUUUGUCCCUUCCUUUUAUGGCUGAGGGCUCCCCUCCCUCAGAGCUUAAUGAGAUGUUUACAUGGAGCCGGCUGUGGGAACCGGGGCCCAUAUGCCGCUGUGUGAGAUGACAGGGACCUGCUUUGUUUCUAUGGCCUUGUGAAGAGGUCUUAGUGCUGAAAUCAGAGCCCCCGGCCUCCUUCCACCUGCAGCCUGGGGCGGGACGUCCGCCACCACAUCUGCUGUCACUCAAAGAGAGGCGCUUAUUCUUUUCCUCCCUCGAGCAUCCAGGCAACUGCUGUCGUAAGAGUAAAAGGGAAGAAGGUCGAUCUGUUUCUCUUCCUCUAGUAGUCCGAGCCGCAGACAGGUAAACAGGCAGACAGGUAAACAGGCGGACAGGUAAACAGGCAGACAGGUAAACAGACAAACAGGUAAACAGACAAACAGGUAAACAGGCAGACAGGUAAACAGGCGGACAGGUAAACAAGUAAACAGGUACACAGGCAGACAGGUAAACAGACAAACAGGUAAACAGGCAGACAGGUAAACAGGCGGACAGGUAAACAGGCGGACAGGUAAACAGGUACACAGGUAAAAAGGCAGACAGGUAAACAGGCGGACAGGUAAACAGGCAGACAGGUAAACGGACAGACAGGUAAACAGGCAGACAGGUAAACAGACAGGUAAACAAGUAAACAGGUACACAGGCAGAGAGGCAGAAAGGUAAACAGGCAGACAGGUAAACAGGCAGACAGGUAAACAGACAGACAGGUAAACAGGCAGACAGGCAGAGAGAAGCAGGUCUAAAUGUGCCCCCACUGCUGAUAAAGGCCGUAAACCUGCUGUUAUCAGACAGGCACCUUAGAGCUUCUGCACCUGCUGCUGCAGCUCACACAGUGACCUCCACUAAGAGGAGCCCGACACACACCUGUCCCACCUGUCCACCCUGUCCACCCUGGAUGUCUCGUCGUCUGAGGUUAAACAUUUGCCUUUUUCCACAACCCUGUAUCGUGAUGUUGUAAACCGGGAAACCCCCCUCAGACCCCCUCAGCAUGUCGAUGAUUUACUUCCUUAAAUGUCUCUUUCAAACUUCUCAAAUCUCAAACCGGUUUGAUCAAAGUUCUGCGUAUGGAAACAAAGUGAAGAUGCGAGUGUGAAAUGGUGGAUUGACCACAUCUCUAAUCUGAUAAUAACUAAAUAUCCCAUUUGAAUAAAUGAAGACUAACGGAAGAGAACUUAAAAGGGAUUAAAAGUAGAACCGGGUUCAUUUGCUGCAUCAGUGGAAUCGGGAGGAUUGUUAGAAAAACCCUCAAAUGAUUUGACUUUUCACGCGUUUUACAAACAGGUGAAGUGUCUUCACACGUCUCCCUCCUCCAUCUUUGACCCGACUCAAUCAAACCAAAAGACCUCUUCUCCUCUGGUCCUCACAGCUUCCGUCCACGUGUCUCCAGAGCACAGACCUCGUCCCUCGGAUGAAUCCACUCGCACCUGCAGUCUGAACGUCGGCAGAAUAAAAAUAAUUGUAUUGCAAUGUGAGGAAUUUCCACAUGUUGCCUUAGAAAUGGGAACACGUGUGUGUGAUUGAGACACACACACACACACACACACACACACACACACACACGUAGGAGGAAUGCCUGAUCCGACGCUUCACUCUUGCGCCGAUGAUAAGUGUACUCGGUAUGUGCGGAGGCGGAGCCGGGCUCCCCGUCUGUCAGCGCGCUGUCAGCUGAUCAAACGGCGUUUCCUCUGAAGGUGUGAGGACAGAGGACAGAGGACAGAGGAGGUCAGCUAAAUCCUCUUUCCCCUUUGUCUCCCCGCAGGAGCUCAGCUGGCUGCGCGCUCCACCGGGCCGAGACGCCUGAAGGGGAGCGAGGAGCCGCCUCACCUGGAGCCCCUCUCAGGUCACCUUCACUCCGCCCGCUGACCCGUUACUGUGACACCACAGACCAUUGAUUAUGGUGCUUUGGUCCCCGCGAAGGAACGCUGAGUUCUCGUCUUCCCUCGUGACGCUUUCGGACCCAACGAGGUCACAAACGCGUCGCAUUGUCGCACAAAAUCACCUGACACAACCUGACCCCCCCCCCCCAAGGUGACCCCAUCGCAGCUUUUAGGAAUUCAAAGGGGUGAAUCAGAUGCCACACCGUCACCGUCCGCCUGCCCUCGAGCAAGGGAGAAUGUGUCAGGGCUCCGCCCCCCCCUGGUCUGCAGAGCAAAGACGCCGUGAGAAAACGAGGGUCCGAUGGCCAAAAAGCACAAACCGGGCAAGCCGCGACAGGACGUUCUAAAGUUGACUUUU
Long non-coding RNA from Gasterosteus aculeatus aculeatus (three-spined stickleback), 7237 nucleotides. The record is from Ensembl. Lineage: Eukaryota; Metazoa; Chordata; Actinopteri; Perciformes; Gasterosteidae.